Molecule: long non-coding RNA, 1297 nt
Organism: Micropterus salmoides (largemouth bass)
Lineage: Eukaryota; Metazoa; Chordata; Actinopteri; Centrarchiformes; Centrarchidae
Exons: 4
Source: RefSeq, a predicted model, not a curated record
UUUUACUGUUUUAUUAUUAUUCUAAUCUCUUAAAUAAUUUUGUUAUUCUUAUCUAAUAACAUAAAUAAAUCUUUGAUGUUAUAAAUACUAUUUUGUAUUACUGCAUUUACGGUAAUUUAGGUAUUAUUUCCCAUUGUUAUUUUUAUGUAAUGUAAACUAUAAAGAUUACGUAACCUCAAACAAAACGUGUUUUCUUUCUUACUGUUAGAUGAGAUGUUAUGAUUUAGAUUGAUUACACAUAACGUUACUGCCUGACGUUAGCUUAGUAAGGCUGGGAGCCUUGCAAGCUAGCAGAACAGUUUCCAACAACGCCUAGCUGUUUUAAUUACACGUUAUAUAUUGUCUAUACAAUAUAUGUAUAAAUACAAAACGUGACAGGUUGGUUUUGAAUUGUUUACCGACCAAAAGGGGGACUAGUUAACAGAAAACCUAACUCUUCAGGAAGCCAGACCAGUCUAGCAGCAAUAUUCAUCUGUGCACCAUAUGUGAUUUCAAAAGCCCCCAGGUUCCAGUGCUUGACAUUACAUCAGCAUAUGGCAGUGAAGGAUCAAAAGAUGCCUCCUAGCUUGGACUUGUAGGACUCCCUCCAGGACCAAGCAGGAAACCACAGGAAUGAUGUUCUGAGUCACAUCCUACUGAGACGUGUUUAAUGACUGAGCCAUGAAUGGUGUCCAAGAGUGACAAAACCAGAUGGUUUUGGAUGCUGGUGCUGCAACCUGAGCGAACAUCGUCCCUGCAGCGGCCAACUUUGUGAUCGAUAUUCAGACUAAAACAAGUGUCUCACUGGAACUCUGCCCCUGUGAAGACAGAUAUGCAAGAUUCAGUGUGUCCUGUUCACUGUUCCCAAAAUAUUUUUUCCCAUCAAUUUGUCACAUCGGUUAUCUUGUAUCGUAAAAUGUAUUGUAUUUGGAAACCUCUGCCAUCGUAACACUACAUCAAAGACUUCUGUUUGUUUAAAGGAAAAAGGAUGCUUUAUGCAAGUGUUUAUUAGUGUAAGUUGAGAUUCAUAUGCAAGGGCCCCCACAGGAGCAAGUCCACGUUUAUAAAUGAGGCUCUUUUGCUGCGCUCAUUAUUUACUAACUGAGAAGAUCAAGGGCUCUUUAUUCAGGUUGUUUCAGCACCCCUGGGUGUUUUACAAUAGCUCUAGGUGUUUCUGUUUUUUAAUUGGGAGCCAGAAUCCAGUUUGAGGCCCUUGCAAAAUGUACAGUAGGGGGCUGGGGGCAUUGAGGGCUUAAUAGGACUGCAUUGUAAUGUUUUAUGGUAGUGGAAAAUGAAUAUGGGAAAGUGUGACACCUUU